CAGCAGCCGCCACGGUAAUACGGAGGGUGCAAGCGUUAAUCGGAAUUACUGGGCGUAAAGCGCACGCAGGCGGUCUGACAAGUCAGAUGUGAAAUCCCCGGGCUUAACCUGGGAACUGCAUUUGAAACUGUCAGGCUGGAGUCUUGUAGAGGGGGGUGGAAUUCCAGGUGUAGCGGUGAAAUGCGUAGAGAUCUGGAGGAAUACCGGUGGCGAAGGCGGCCCCCUGGACAAAGACUGACGCUCAGGUGCGAAAGCGUGGGGAGCAAACAGGAUUAGAUACCCCUGUAGUCCCUGUCUCUUAUAC
RNAcentral lists this ribosomal RNA (304 nucleotides) under uncultured bacterium. RNAcentral describes it as "partial 16S ribosomal RNA". It matches the Rfam family "Bacterial small subunit ribosomal RNA", at positions 509 to 807 of the family's 1533-position model. The record is from RNAcentral.